RNAcentral lists this unclassified non-coding RNA (414 nucleotides) under Hevea brasiliensis (rubber tree). Lineage: Eukaryota; Viridiplantae; Streptophyta; Magnoliopsida; Malpighiales; Euphorbiaceae. The record is from RNAcentral.
GAAAGCAGAAGAACUAUCAUCAGGUAUAUUUAGUGAUUUUCUGUGUGGGCUUUUUUAUAUUUUGAAAGGCGCUUCUAGGAUUUUGUUGCUGGUGUUUAAGCCUGGAAUCAGGUUUCAAAAGUUUGUAUCCAUUUUAUUCAAUUUUACACGUGAAAUAACAGGUUAAUGUGCUGUAGCUUGCUGCAAAGGUAAAGUUUUGUGGUAGUAAUUACUAUUAUCCAAGUUGGAAUCAGGAAAGCAGCAAUUUUAUGCAAAAUUACUGGAGGAGAUUACAUUUGGAUUCUCGACCCCAUUUUGGUGGGGAAUCAUAAUUAAUAAUAGUUUUUCAAUGCGAAGUGUCUAUGUAAGCAUAUUGAAUAAUCUCAAGCUGGAAGGUUUCAGACAAUCUACUACAACUCAACUCAACUAAGCUUU